RNAcentral lists this ribosomal RNA (549 nucleotides) under uncultured archaeon. RNAcentral's name for it is "bacterial SSU rRNA". It matches the Rfam family "Archaeal small subunit ribosomal RNA", at positions 92 to 630 of the family's 1478-position model. The record is from RNAcentral.
AGUAACACAUGAUCAACUUACCCUAUUGAGAAAGAUAACCUCGGGAAACUGAGGAUAAUAUUUCAUAGUUGAAUUGGCUUGGAAAAGUUUUUCAACAAAAGGGAUAGGGAAAAUGGUCUCUAUCCGCUAUAGGAUAGGAUCGUGUUCGAUUAUGGUAGUUGGUGAGGUAAAGGCUCACCAAGCCGAUAAUCGAUAGGGGCCGUGAGAGCGGGAGCCCCGAGAUGGGUACUGAGACAACGACCCAGGCCUUACGAGGCGCAGCAGGUACGAAACCUCCACAAUACACGAAAGUGUGAUGGGGUUACCCAAAGUGUUCAUUAUUGAACUGUGGUAGGAGAGUAAUGUCCCCUACUAGAAAGGAGAGGGCAAGGCUGGUGCCAGCCGCCGCGGUAAAACCAGCUCUUCAAGUGGUCGGGAUAAUUAUUGGGCUUAAAGUGUCCGUAGCCGGUUUAGUAAGUUCCUGGUAAAAUCGGGUAGCUUAACCAUCUGUAUGCUAGGAAUACUACUAUACUAGAGGGCGGGAGAGGUCUGAGGUACUACAGGGGUAGG